This 309-nucleotide unclassified non-coding RNA is filed under the name plant metagenome. Its description in RNAcentral is "partial contains 5.8S ribosomal RNA, internal transcribed spacer 2, and large subunit ribosomal RNA". The stretch from base 1 to 105 matches the Rfam family "5.8S ribosomal RNA", at positions 50 to 154 of the family's 154-position model. The record is from RNAcentral.
GAAAUGCGAUAAGUAGUGUGAAUUGCAGAAUUCAGUGAAUCAUCGAAUCUUUGAACGCACAUUGCGCCCCUUGGUAUUCCAUGGGGCAUGCCUGUUCGAGCGUCAUUUAUACCCUCAAGCUCUGCUUGGUGUUGGGUGUUUGUCCCGUCUCCGCGCGUGGACUCGCCCCAAAGUGAUUGGCAGCCGGCGUACUGGUCCCGGAGCGCAGCACAUGUCGCGCAAACGAGUGCCUUGGUACGGCGGCGUCCAUAAGCCCCUCUCUCACGCUCUUGACCUCGGAUCAGGUAGGGAUACCCGCUGAACUUAAGC